AUUGAACCUCUUUAACUACUGCUUAUUCUGUUAAUAAUAGGCCUUUGUGAAGCCACGCAGGAUUACCCGAGCGGUCUAAGGCGUUGCAGUCAUGGACUAUGAGGCCAAUCUCGGCAGAGGUUCGAGUCCUCCCUUGGGCAUGGAUGGAAUGCUACAGAGCCUGAUUCAGAAGUAUGAAAUGGACAUGGAAAGUAAUUUUACAUGUUGUGGACCUUGCUGUGGUAAAUGCAUUGAACCAAUACAUGAGAACUAUCGAAGGGAAUAAUAUUCCAAGAAAAGAACAGAAAGAUUUGCUACACUACAAAUUAGAGGUAGCAGAAGGACUGCUUGCAGUUCCACCUGACGUUAGAAGGGUAUUAAGUGACAGUGAACAAGAAGGAGAUGCACUUCCUGCAGCCAAAAGGUCUAAAUUCUUUAAUCAACCUGCAAAGCUUCCAUACAGUGACAAGCGCUGUGAUGGAUAUAAACAUUUUCCAAUUUCUGAUGAUAUUCCAGCACCACACAUUUGCAGAUACGAGCCAUGCAAAAGUCGCAGCAAAAUGCGGUGCGAAAAGUGUAACGUAUACUUGUGCCUGUCGAAGGACAAGACAUGUUUUAAGGACUUUCAUGUUCCUCCCAAACAGAAACAAAGAAGACAAACAUUCAUUUAAAACAGCUGCAACAAGAGUUUUGUACAUUUCUGUAUAGUUUUA
Molecule: long non-coding RNA, 692 nt
Organism: Schistocerca piceifrons (Central American locust)
Lineage: Eukaryota; Metazoa; Arthropoda; Insecta; Orthoptera; Acrididae
Exons: 3
Source: RefSeq, a predicted model, not a curated record